CUGGUGGCAAACAAAAUAUACAAUGACAGGAAGGACCCUUCACUACACUUGUUAAAAUAUGGAAGGGACCUCCUUGGGAAGCUAUAAAUUCUUGGUCACCGCAAGGAGUAGAAAGUGAGCCUGCAGAAGACAGAGCUGGGCCACAGGAGAUGAGCCGGCCGAGCUCCUGCCCCCUCAGCCCUUCUGAUAAAGGCUCUGUCUGACCCCCAGACCCUCAGCCAUGCCUCCCGGGGCUCACAGGCCCUGAGAAGCCUGGUGUGGGUCCCAGUGCUCUCCUCUGACCUGGGGGAGGAAGGGCUGUGUUGUAACUCCUUGUCUUUCUUCUGGUCCUGUGUGCUUUUUCUCAGUGAGCACGUGCCAUAUGGUGGGGCACUUACGUCUUGUCUGAUGCCCCUCUAAGCCCAGGGCUUCCUGAGGACAGGAAUCCAGGCCUCAGGAGAGAGCCUGGGCGUGGAGUGAGGGCCCCGGCCUGAGCUGCGCCACGAGCCCAAGGACACCAUCUAUGCGCUCCGCUGGUGUUGGCUUCCACGUGUGUAAGACGAGCGGCCCGGCUGCUCUUGGGUGUUUCUUGACUUUUCAACGGUCCUUGGGCCUCAGCAAAAUUGGCAGAAAUCAAAAAUGUGUUAUCUUAGGCAUCCCUGCUGACUCAGUGGUAAAGAAUCUGCCUGCCAAUGCAAGAGACACAGGUUCGAUCCAGAAAGAUCCCACACGCUGUGGAGCAGCUACGUCCGCGCACCACGACUAUUGCUCCUGUAGAGCCUGGAGCCGCAACCCCUGACACCCAUGCCUCCCAGAGCCUGUCUCUGCAACAAGAGCGUGGGGGGCUUUCUUGGAGUGAAAACUGCUCCCCCACAGCACGGACAGUGCCUGAGAUGAGGACCAGAUGGCCCUGCAAGCCUGACGGGGGAGCCACAGCCUUCAGUCACCGUGCAGGGUUCACAAACUGGAGAGCUCAUCGCAGUGUGCUUAAAGACUUGAGGGGUCCUGGGUGAGGCAGAAAAUGGUGUGGGCAGAGCAUGGGAUCAAGAAAGGCGUCCUGGACCCGGUGAGGUCUGAGCUGGGUCUCCAAAGGUGAGUUUGGCAGGGCCUGGCUCUGAGCAGGACUCAAAUACAUGAUGAAUGACGAAAUGAAUGAAAAUGGAAAUCUUCCCCCCAAAAACCAAGACUGUCAGCUCUUCUGUAACUGAGUCCAAGCUUGUCCUGCUCACCUCACGACAGGCCAAUAAACUGAGAGAUGAGUUCUUGGGGCA
This 1250-nucleotide long non-coding RNA is filed under the name Bos indicus x Bos taurus (hybrid cattle). RNAcentral's name for it is "lncRNA (ENSBIXG00005000031.1)". Lineage: Eukaryota; Metazoa; Chordata; Mammalia; Artiodactyla; Bovidae. The record is from RNAcentral.